AUGACGACACAAGAAAAGGCACCCCACGCCGUCCGCCGCCGGGUCGUCUUGUUCCCGCUGCCGUUCCAGGGCCACCUCAGCCCCAUGCUCCAGCUGGCCGAGCUCCUCCGCGCCCGCGGCCUGGCCGUCACCGUCCUCCAUACCGACUUCAACGCGCCCGACCCCCCGCACCAUCCGGAGCUUGCCUUUGUCUCGAUCCACGAGGCGCUCCCGCACGUGGCCACCUCCCCCGACGCCGACAUCGUCGCGCAGCUCCUGGCCCUCAACAACGGUUGCGAGGCGCCGUUCCGGGAGGCCCUGGCAUCGCUGCUGCUGCUGCGUGAGGACGUCGCCUGCGUGGUCGUCGACGGGCAGUGGUACGCGGCGCUGGGGGCGGCGGGCGUGCUCGGCGUCCCCGUGCUCGCGCUCCGGACGGACAGCGCCGCCACGUUCGGCAGCUUACUUGCGUUCCCUCGGCUGCGCGACGCCGGCUACGUCCCCAUCAAAGGCAAGUGGUGCGAGCUAAUUGAAUUCGUACUCAACCGACGGAUGGACUGA
Molecule: ribosomal RNA, 537 nt
Filed under: Triticum aestivum (bread wheat)
Lineage: Eukaryota; Viridiplantae; Streptophyta; Magnoliopsida; Poales; Poaceae
Description: partial small subunit ribosomal RNA
Source: RNAcentral